UACGGAGGGGGCAAGCGUUACUCGGAAUUAUUGGGCGUAAAGGGCGCGUAGGCGGUCGUGUGCGUCGGAGGUGAAAUCCCCGGGCUUAACCCGGGAGCUGCCUCCGAUACGGCAUGGCUUGAGUUCGGUAGGGGAGACUGGAAUUCCUGGUGUAGCGGUGAAAUGCGCAGAUAUCAAGAGGAACACCUGCGGCGAAGGCGGGUUGCUGGGCCGACACUGACGCUGAGGCGCGAAAGCCAGGGGAGCGAACGGG
This 253-nucleotide ribosomal RNA is filed under the name uncultured bacterium. RNAcentral's name for it is "partial 16S ribosomal RNA". It matches the Rfam family "Bacterial small subunit ribosomal RNA", at positions 524 to 776 of the family's 1533-position model. The record is from RNAcentral.